This is a long non-coding RNA of Melospiza melodia melodia, 233 nucleotides long. RefSeq lists it as uncharacterized. NCBI's taxonomy places the organism in Eukaryota, Metazoa, Chordata, Aves, Passeriformes, Passerellidae. The record is from RefSeq and is a predicted model, not a curated record. The transcript is spliced from 3 exons.
AGCAGAGCUCCUCUCCAUGUCAGGUGUGCAGGUAGGGGAGAGGAAAAAGAGGCUGAGUGUGCUCUGAGGAGAAACCUCACUGCAGCCAGAGAGCAAGGCUGUGACAGUAACUACUUCAUCAUGUGCUGGUUGAUUUCCUAAGAGCAUUAAAGUACACGCUAUUUCCUUUGGGAGGACAUUAAAGUCAACCCUGAAACAUCAACAGGACAUCUAAGGAAAAGGAAUGGUAAGUG